ACUCUCCGGUUUCAAAGAAAAAAAAAAUAAAAGUGUUGUCACAAUUAACUAUUGUAACCAUUAGUGUAUUAAAUCAAUCCUUUUCCAUAAUUAACGAGACUUAUGAGCACUAUAAAUCCAACACUAUCAACCCUUUCAAAGUCCAUCAUCCUUGUUCGACACCCUCACACCUCCAUAUUCGUUUCGAAUAUUUUUGUAACCUUGCCGGAGACCCGCAACUCACCGGAGUGCAAGCUUUCGCCGGAAAUCGGAGUGGCCGUAACACGAAGUUCACCGGAGAACCAGUCGCGGCCGGAGGGGAAAUCGGAAACCCGCGAGUGUUCUUCCGUUUCGGUUAAUCGCUCUUGCUCGUUCUCUUGGAUUUUUCCCAAUCUUUACUAGUGCGUUAUUACAAGAAAUCGCAACGCUACGAAUGUUGGUAGACGAAGUGAUAAAGAAAACAAGCUAGGAUGAACCUAGAUACCCAUCUUAGAAUAAGCAAUGUUUGAAUUAUUUUAUUGCAAUUUGUCUUAUUUGGAAACAAUGUACGGAAUUUAGUCAUUUAUGAAAUUUGAUUUAAUCUA
Long non-coding RNA from Helianthus annuus (common sunflower), 563 nucleotides. RefSeq lists it as uncharacterized. NCBI's taxonomy places the organism in Eukaryota, Viridiplantae, Streptophyta, Magnoliopsida, Asterales, Asteraceae. The record is from RefSeq and is a predicted model, not a curated record. The transcript is spliced from 3 exons.